Oreochromis niloticus (Nile tilapia) is the source of this 685-nucleotide long non-coding RNA. RefSeq lists it as uncharacterized. The record is from RefSeq and is a predicted model, not a curated record. The transcript is spliced from 3 exons. Lineage: Eukaryota; Metazoa; Chordata; Actinopteri; Cichliformes; Cichlidae.
UGACUUUGUAGGUCGUGGCUGUCGUGGUGUGGAGAGGAAUUAGCCCAAGACAAACAUGUCAGAAAUGCUAAAAGGCAUUACUGCUUUCACGUGUCGUAACAGCCCAUUCUUCUCUUCUCUGGAAGUCACGGAAUCCGAAAAGUUUGCAGCGAGGCAGAAAUUACUUACUUACUGUAUUUCUGAGGCCUGCUACGCAGUAGCCCUGGCUUCCUUAAAACUGAGCUGUCAAAAGCAAAGCCUGCGCCUGCUUUAAGUGGAAUUUAAAGGAUGUUUCCCACUGAUUACCAGUUAGCAUCCUUGUAGCUUGCCUGUGGGAGUCAUGCUCGAUGUGUUAAAUGUGCCCUGGCCAAGAGGUUCCCAGGUAGGCUGAGGAGUGUGAUCCCCUGAAGAUGGAGUGCACCAACCCAGUUUGCCAGCCCAAUGGUACUGUCCCACAGUGUUACAGAGGACAGCCCGACAACAUCCAGAGUCUUAAGGGAGAACUCUAAAUGGUGUCAGGACUCUCCCUAGAUACACAUGUUGAUGUGUAUUUCACCUCUAGUGUUGAUCUUGGAAGUCACUGGUGAUGAAACAUUCCCCAGGAUCAUCCCAGUUUCCUUCGACAUGUAUAUCUUUGUGUAUGUCAUCAUGUAGCUUUUACUAGGACAGCUUUGUACUACAGGAGCCGUCAGAACAAAGACUAUUA